UACGAAGGGUGCAAGCGUUACUCGGAAUUACUGGGCGUAAAGGGCGCGUAGGCGGUCGUUUAAGUCCGUUGUGAAAUCCCUGGGCUCAACCUGGGAAUGGCAGUGGAUACUGGACGGCUGGAGUGCGGUAGAGGGUAGUGGAAUUCCCGGUGUAGCAGUGAAAUGCGUAGAGAUCGGGAGGAACACCAGUGGCGAAGGCGGCUACCUGGACCAGCACUGACACUGAAGCACGAAAGCGUGGGGAGCAAACAGG
This 253-nucleotide ribosomal RNA is filed under the name uncultured bacterium. RNAcentral describes it as "partial 16S ribosomal RNA". It matches the Rfam family "Bacterial small subunit ribosomal RNA", at positions 524 to 776 of the family's 1533-position model. The record is from RNAcentral.